RNAcentral lists this ribosomal RNA (487 nucleotides) under uncultured bacterium. RNAcentral's name for it is "bacterial SSU rRNA". It matches the Rfam family "Bacterial small subunit ribosomal RNA", at positions 55 to 523 of the family's 1533-position model. The record is from RNAcentral.
AUGCAAGUCGAGCGAGCUUGCCUAGAUGAUUUUAGUGCUUGCCACUAAAUGAAACUAGAUACAAGCGAGCGGCGGACGGGUGAGUAACACGUGGGUAACCUGCCCAAGAGACUGGGAUAACACCUGGAAACAGAUGCUAAUACCGGAUAACAACACUAGACGCAUGUCUAGAGUUUGAAAGAUGGUUCUGCUAUCACUCUUGGAUGGACCUGCGGUGCAUUAGCUAGUUGGUAAGGUAACGGCUUACCAAGGCAAUGAUGCAUAGCCGAGUUGAGAGACUGAUCGGCCACAUUGGGACUGAGACACGGCCCAAACUCCUACGGGAGGCAGCAGUAGGGAAUCUUCCACAAUGGACGAAAGUCUGAUGGAGCAACGCCGCGUGAGUGAAGAAGGGUUUCGGACUGUAAACUUCUGAUCUAAGGGAAAAAGAAAGUGAUGGUACCUUAGGAGAAAGCCACGGCUAACUACGUGCCAGCAGCCGCGGUAA